Molecule: long non-coding RNA, 1922 nt
Organism: Herpailurus yagouaroundi (jaguarundi)
Lineage: Eukaryota; Metazoa; Chordata; Mammalia; Carnivora; Felidae
Exons: 5
Source: RefSeq, a predicted model, not a curated record
UAUACAGACCAGGAGAAGGGAAUUAGAAGCAGCUAUCAGGGAGAAGGUAAGCCUCUAUUGAUAUCUCAAGUCUUGGAGGAUGCAAAGUCAACCAAGUGAAGGAGGGGCAGAGUGAAAAAUGUGCAAAGGCUAUAGGUGGAAGGAGCAUGUGAACUUAAAGCAAUGUGACUGCAGAACCAGAAAACUGAGUCUAAGUAGGAAAUGCAGGGAAAUGGGGUGACGGACAAUCUGGGGCCAGACUGUCAAAGACCUUUUCAGUCUGAGGAAAGGGGGUCCAAUUCUUAGGGCAAUGGGAGUACAAUGAAGCCUUUUAAACCAAGGAGAAACAAUGUCUGAAUUUUUUUUUAAAUCUAAAGACAUUUUACUAAGACUUUGGUAUAGAAAUGAAGGGACUAAGGGGGUGACAAUAUAGAGGAGAGGCCAGUGUUCAAGACACUCUGGAAGUCACCUAGGAAAGAGGUGGUGCCCUGACUAAGCUACUAACAGGGGUCAGAGAGAAGGGUAUAGUAUCAGAAAGAAUUAAAAGCUAGAUCUGAUAAAGCUUGGUGUGAGAGAGUGUUUAAGAAGACACCCAAGUUUCAGACUAACUGGGUGGGUGCUGAUGUCAUUUAGUGCAAUAUUCAAUACAGAGGAGGAUUGGGUUUGGAAGAGGGGUGAUGACUUCAGCUUUGGACUUGUUAACUUUCUGUGGCUGUAAGCCAGACUAGUGAAGAUACUGGAACUGGGACUUAGGGGAGAGAUCAGGGCAAGAGGCAGGAGUUUAGAACAUUGGGACUGUGAUAGAAGCCAUGGUAGCGAUGAGAUCACACAGAAAGAGUGCAUACAGUAAGAAGAACAGAAGGCCUAGGAGGAAUUCCUGGGGAGAGAUGGACAGAGUAGGGAAACCAUGAGGAAAGGAAAGGACACCCAGGAGGAGGAGGAGGACCAAGAAAGAGUGACAUAACAGUCAUUGUCAGGGAUGGCACAUGGACUAUCUCCUAUAACGCUUCCAACAGCUUUAUCUGACCAGGGACCCAGACAAAAGUGUUCUGGGUCACACUUGGAGGAAGGCUGCCGCGCUGGGUUCCUGUCUGUGAGGCUUGCAUGAAUAGGACCGCAAUGAACACAGAAAGGUGAGAAAACUGAGGGUUAAGACGGUUCCAUAAUUUGCCCAUGGUCACAGAGAUAGGAGGGGGUCAGGCUGCGGCUUGAAUCCAGAUUAUAUAGCUCUACAACCCACACGAGUAAUUGUUUCUCUGCAUUGCUUCUAGGAAGGACCAGACGGAGGCUUGUUGCCAGCUCCGGGUAAAACAUCGUCUCUAGCCCAGGCAGACAAGGUCGCUGGACAUUGUCUGAAUUCUAACUGCUGAGAAGGAAGUAGAAGGAGGGGAAGCCCAAGGGGACACUGAAGGCUGUCCUUGUGAUUAAAAUGAACCCAUGAAUGGCCCCAUUUUGGGGCUCAGCCCUGCACCAGCCACUUUCAUAUGCCAUGCCCCUUACUCCAAACUUCUGGACUUGAUGCUAUUUUUCCAUGUUAUACAUCAGGAAAAUGAGAAGUAAGAAGUUAAAGCAAUUAAUGUGGUGGCCUAGGCUAUGGUUCAGAUCUACUGAAAAUCCAAGCUUUCGACAUGAGAUACAAAAAGGUGCCCUUCCACUCUGGGCCCCACGCUACUGAAGGCAAUACAUACCGGUGAGAGCCUAGAGGCACAAGAGAUACUUUACUAGUAAAGUGCUUCCUGAGCUAGACACGCUUAUUUGGCUGAAGUCUUUUCUUAUGAAAACGAAGAGCCAGCCUGAAGACAGAGCCCUGCCCACUUGAGAAAUAACCAGGGGAGAGACUGUGCCCCUCCAACACAUCCUGCCCAGGGCCUGUGGAUGGCCUGCUCUUGGAAUGAAGAUGGACACGAUGGAAUUUCAAAGUGAAUAAAAACAUUAAAAUGUGA